This is a non-coding RNA of Acanthosepion pharaonis, 111 nucleotides long. The record is from the annotation of a GenBank genome assembly. NCBI's taxonomy places the organism in Eukaryota, Metazoa, Mollusca, Cephalopoda, Sepiida, Sepiidae.
UACGCCCACAUCACUUUGAAACACUGGUUCUCGUACGAUCACUGAAGUUAAGCAACGUCAAGCCCGAUCAGUACCUAGAUGAGUGACUGCAGGAGAAUAUUAGAUGCUGGA